GUCCUAUCCCACUGUGCAGAAGUGGCUGCAUAGUAUGACUCAGUCCUAAGGAGGCGCCUUCCCCAGAUCUGAAGCCAUAUCAGCCGACGCCUUUUUUCGUGGCGCGGGGCGUGGACGUGUCUAACCCGCAUGCAACAGGACAUGCUCUCCUUGAGGUCCACGUCAAGGAUCACUCAAGUGCAGUGCCUUGCCUCGCAUCCUGUAUCGUGACGAUGGUGGACGAAGGGGGAUAGCUGAGGCUGAACUGUGGCUGUUUAUAACGACAAACAAGUUGACAGCACCCUGAAAGAAAGGCACGGACUUCAAGGCGAUAGAAAAGUACUAAGUCUUGCCAAUCUGGGUAUCAAAAUACAUUGUAAACUUUUACGAAUUACUUCUUUGCCAACAGCCAAAAUAUGAGUGAGUACAUCUGGAUAAAAUACAAAACAUGAAAAUAUCUGAAAGUAUAUGUAAUAUACUAGAAUACUUUCUAAAUGUUGCACAGAACUUACCAUCAAAUCAUCUAUUUGAAGAGUGAGUCUUAAGUAGCUGAACCUUAAGCUGCAGAGUAAGUACAACUUCUCUGCAUCCUCAAAAUUUUGUAGCUCUGAAAUAUAUUUCAUUUCUUGUUAAAUUAAGUUCCUUCUCUUACCAGAAGCACAAAUAUUUUUUCCUAUGUUCAUAUGUUACUUGAGCAUCUGGAAAAAGAGUACGUUGUCCAAUGUAAGUCAUUUUGGCUUUAGCAAACUGAAGGCCAUGCAUUCAAUCCUCAGCACCAGAAUUAAAUAAAUAAAUAAAUAAAUAAAAGAUUUUUUAAAAGCUGGGAAAAAUGGAAGUCUUCUUUUCAGUUCUUUCUUUCUUAGGAAUGUUCUUGCCAAUAUAAAAUGUAUAAAGAGGCAUUUGUGUUUUCUUCUAGUACAUUACUAUGUAGAAGCAAGGGGAACUUUUCAUCUGUGCUUAUAGAUAUUAUUACAUUUCUUAUAGAUAUGUUUUAUUACAUACAUGCAAUUAUAGGUUACUAAUUCUGUGGCAUGCUGAUAAAAAAGAGAACAAGUAAUAAAAGAUUAUUACUACUGCCAAAUUAUUGCUUUCCUUCAUAAUUUUUGCUUUAAAAAACUGAACUCAAGUAUACUUAUCUGUUCUUUUAUUUUAUUCAUUUAUACCCAUACUCUGAAUACCUAGGAUGUAAUUGACAUAAUGACUCUUAAGACUCUUCCUUAAAAGCUUUAUGUUUGAUUAAUCAGAAAUUUAAAACUUCAGAGAUAGGACUCAAUUUCAAGUAAAACUUUUCCUCUUCCAUUUCAAACAGAAGCACUCUGGUGGUAGGAAAUUAUGAACUGCC
This 1321-nucleotide long non-coding RNA is filed under the name Marmota monax (woodchuck). Lineage: Eukaryota; Metazoa; Chordata; Mammalia; Rodentia; Sciuridae. The record is from RNAcentral.